This 258-nucleotide ribosomal RNA is filed under the name uncultured bacterium. RNAcentral's name for it is "partial 16S ribosomal RNA". It matches the Rfam family "Bacterial small subunit ribosomal RNA", at positions 96 to 354 of the family's 1533-position model. The record is from RNAcentral.
CGGCGGACGGGUGAGUAACGCGUGGGUAACCUGCCUCAUACAGGGGGAUAACAGUUAGAAAUGACUGCUAAUACCGCAUAAGCGCACAGGACCGCAUGGUCCGGUGUGAAAAACUCCGGUGGUAUGAGAUGGACCCGCGUCUGAUUAGUUAGUUGGCGGGGUAACGGCCCACCAAGGCGACGAUCAGUAGCCGGCCUGAGAGGGUGAGCGGCCACAUUGGGACUGAGACACGGCCCAGACUCCUACGGGAGGCAGCAG